Molecule: unclassified non-coding RNA, 352 nt
Filed under: soil metagenome
Description: partial contains 5.8S ribosomal RNA, internal transcribed spacer 2, and large subunit ribosomal RNA
Rfam family: 5.8S ribosomal RNA (bases 1-120)
Source: RNAcentral
GAUGAAGAACGUAGCGAAAUGCGAUAAGUAAUGUGAAUUGCAGAAUUCAGUGAAUCAUCGAAUCUUUGAACGCACAUUGCGCCCGCCAGUAUUCUGGCGGGCAUGCCUGUUCGAGCGUCAUUACAACCCUCAGGCCCCCGGGCCUGGCGUUGGGGAUCGGCGGAGCCCCCCGUGGGCACACGCCGUCCCCCAAAUACAGUGGCGGUCCCGCCGCAGCUUCCAUCGCGUAGUAGCUAACACCUCGCGACUGGAGAGCGGCGAGGCCACGCCGUAAAACACCCAACUCUUCUGAAGUUGACCUCGAAUCAGGUAGGAAUACCCGCUGAACUUAAGCAUAUCAAUAAGCGGAGGA